AGCGAACGCUGGCGGCAGGCUUAACACAUGCAAGUCGAGCGGGCGUAGCAAUACGUCAGCGGCAGACGGGUGAGUAACGCGUGGGAACGUACCUUUUGGUUCGGAACAACACAGGGAAACUUGUGCUAAUACCGGAUAAGCCCUUACGGGGAAAGAUUUAUCGCCGAAAGAUCGGCCCGCGUCUGAUUAGCUAGUUGGUAGGGUAAUGGCCUACCAAGGCGACGAUCAGUAGCUGGUCUGAGAGGAUGAUCAGCCACAUUGGGACUGAGACACGGCCCAAACUCCUACGGGAGGCAGCAGUGGGGAAUAUUGGACAAUGGGGGCAACCCUGAUCCAGCCAUGCCGCGUGAGUGAUGAAGGCCCUAGGGUUGUAAAGCUCUUUUGUGCGGGAAGAUAAUGACGGUACCGCAAGAAUAAGCCCCGGCUAACUUCGUGCCAGCCGCCGCCGUAA
Molecule: ribosomal RNA, 451 nt
Filed under: uncultured bacterium
Lineage: Bacteria
Description: partial 16S ribosomal RNA
Rfam family: Bacterial small subunit ribosomal RNA
Source: RNAcentral